UACAGAGGGUGCAAGCGUUGCUCGGAAUCAUUGGGCGUAAAGGGCAAGUAGGUGGUCUUAUUUGUCUCGUGUGAAAUCCUUGGGCUUAACCCAAGAAGUGCGCGAGAAACGGUGAGACUAGAGUUCUGGAGAGGGUCGUGGAAUUCCCGGUGUAGCGGUGAAAUGCGUAGAGAUCGGGAGGAACACCAGAGGCGAAGGCGGCGACCUGGACAGACACUGACACUCAACUGCGAAAGCGUGGGGAGCAAACGGG
RNAcentral lists this ribosomal RNA (253 nucleotides) under uncultured bacterium. RNAcentral describes it as "partial 16S ribosomal RNA". It matches the Rfam family "Bacterial small subunit ribosomal RNA", at positions 524 to 776 of the family's 1533-position model. The record is from RNAcentral.